Molecule: signal recognition particle RNA, 277 nt
Filed under: Setaria italica (foxtail millet)
Lineage: Eukaryota; Viridiplantae; Streptophyta; Magnoliopsida; Poales; Poaceae
Description: SRP RNA Plant_SRP
Rfam family: Plant signal recognition particle RNA
Source: Rfam by way of RNAcentral
GCCGAGCUCGGUUGCACGGGCUUGUAACCGAAGUGGAGAUAUUAAGGUGGUGUGAAUGUUUAGUGCGGACUCUGAGCUUGGGUUUGCCUGUUGCAAGUUGGUAAUGGCCUGUGCGGUCCAAGCGAAAGCUCGGGCUUCACUAGACCUGAAGUGGCAGCAACGGCAUGAGGCUGGCUUCACAGAGCAGUGAUCACUGCCCGCUUCCGACGGUGGAAGGAUAACAGGCCGCUACAUCACGGGCCCGACCUGGACCUCGAGGAGCCGGCGGUGAGGAUCG